RNAcentral lists this ribosomal RNA (482 nucleotides) under uncultured bacterium. Its description in RNAcentral is "bacterial SSU rRNA". It matches the Rfam family "Bacterial small subunit ribosomal RNA", at positions 66 to 543 of the family's 1533-position model. The record is from RNAcentral.
GCAGCGCAGUGUAGCAAUACAUGGGGCGGCGACCGGCAAACGGGUGCGGAACACGUACGCAACCUUCCUUCAAGUGGGGGAUAGCCCGGGGAAACCCGGAUUAAUACCCCGUAAUACUGUUGAGUGGCAUCACUUGACAUUUAUAGCUCCGGCGCUUGAAGAUGGGCGUGCGUCUGAUUAGGUAGUUGGCGGGGUAACGGCCCACCAAGCCUACGAUCAGUAACUGGUGUGAGAGCACGACCAGUCACACGGGCACUGAGACACGGGCCCGACUCCUACGGGAGGCAGCAGUAAGGAAUAUUGGUCAAUGGACGCAAGUCUGAACCAGCCAUGCCGCGUGGAGGAUGAAGGCCCUCUGGGUUGUAAACUUCUUUUAUCUGAGAAGAAACCGGACCUUUCUAGGGCCGUUGACGGUACCAGAUGAAUAAGCACCGGCUAACUCCGUGCCAGCAGCCGCGGUAAUACGGAGGGUGCAAGCGUUA